Molecule: ribosomal RNA, 253 nt
Filed under: uncultured bacterium
Lineage: Bacteria
Description: partial 16S ribosomal RNA
Rfam family: Bacterial small subunit ribosomal RNA
Source: RNAcentral
UACGUAGGUCGCAAGCGUUGUCCGGAUUUACUGGGCGUAAAGAGCGCGCAGGCGGCUGGUCAAGUCCGAUGUGAAAUCUCCCGGCUCAACUGGGAAACUGCAUCGGAAACUGAUCGGCUUGAAGAUGGGAGAGGGUAGUGGAAUUCCCGGUGUAGUGGUGAAAUGCGUAGAGAUGUGGAGGAACACCAGUGGCGAAGGCGACUCUUUGGCCUGUAACUGACGCUGAGGCGCGAAAGCGUGGGGAGCAAACAGG